RNAcentral lists this transfer RNA (70 nucleotides) under Divia briandi. Its description in RNAcentral is "tRNA-Ala". The record is from RNAcentral. Lineage: Eukaryota; Metazoa; Mollusca; Gastropoda; Cycloneritida; Phenacolepadidae.
GGCGGUAUACUUUAAAUUAAAAGGAUUGAUUUUGCAUUCAAUUAUUAAGAACUAUUUUUCUUUAGCGCCA